RNAcentral lists this ribosomal RNA (491 nucleotides) under uncultured bacterium. RNAcentral describes it as "bacterial SSU rRNA". It matches the Rfam family "Bacterial small subunit ribosomal RNA", at positions 374 to 883 of the family's 1533-position model. The record is from RNAcentral.
GGGGAAACCCUGACGCAGCAACGCCGCGUGGGCGACGAAGGUCUUCGGAUUGUAAAGCCCUGUCUUCUGGGACGAUAAUGACGGUACCAGAGGAGGAAGCCACGGCUAACUACGUGCCAGCAGCCGCGGUAAUACGUAGGUGGCAAGCGUUGUCCGGAAUUACUGGGCGUAAAGGGUGCGUAGGCGGAUAUUUAAGUGGGAUGUGAAAUACCUGAGCUCAACUCGGGUGCUGCAUUCCAAACUGGAUAUCUAGAGUGCAGGAGAGGAGAAUGGAAUUCCUAGUGUAGCGGUGAAAUGCGUAGAGAUUAGGAAGAACACCAGUGGCGAAGGCGAUUCUCUGGACUGUAACUGACGCUGAGGCACGAAAGCGUGGGUAGCAAACAGGAUUAGAUACCCUGGUAGUCCACGCCGUAAACUAUGAAUACUAGGUGUAGGGGGGAACCUCCCUCUGUGCCGCAGUUAACACAAUAAGUAUUCCGCCUGGGGAGUAC